RNAcentral lists this ribosomal RNA (367 nucleotides) under uncultured bacterium. Its description in RNAcentral is "bacterial SSU rRNA". It matches the Rfam family "Bacterial small subunit ribosomal RNA", at positions 527 to 896 of the family's 1533-position model. The record is from RNAcentral.
GUAGGUGGCAAGCGUUGUCCGGAUUUAUUGGGUUUAAAGGGUGCGUAGGCGGUUCCAUAAGUCAGUGGUGAAAUACAAUAGCUUAACUAUUGAGGUGCCAUUGAUACUGCGGAACUUGAGUACAGACGAGGUAGGCGGAAUUGACGGUGUAGCGGUGAAAUGCUUAGAUAUCGUCAAGAACACCGAUAGCGAAGGCAGCUUACUAGGCUGUAACUGACGCUGAGGCACGAAAGUGUGGGGAUCAAACGGGAUUAGAUACCCUGGUAGUCCACACUGUAAACGAUGAUUACUCGAUGUUGGCGAUACACAGCCAGCGUCUUAGCGAAAGCGAUAAGUAAUCCACCUGGGGAGUACGCCGGCAACGGUG